CGGGCUCAUCCCUAGGGACUGCAUUUGUUGCUGCAGGCCUGUAGGUUUUGUAGAGGGGGGGGAGAAUUCCCAGGUGCAUCGAUCAAAUUAGUAGAGAAUCUGGAGGAAAGACCGGUGGGAAAGGCGCCCCCCCCCCCCCAAAAACUUAUCGCUCAGGUGAAGAAGAGUGGGGAGCGAAACAGGAUUAAAUACCCUGGUAGGCCACCCCCGUCACCGAUGUCAAUUUGGAGGUUGGGCCCGUGAGGCGUGCCUUCCGAAGCUAACGCGUUAAUUCGGCCGCCUGCGGAGUGCGUCCGCUAGGUUAAAACUCAAAUGAAUUGACGGGGGCCCGCCCAAGCGGUGGAGCAUGUGGGUUAAUUCGAUGCAACGCGAAGAACCUUCCUUGGUCUUCACAUCCACAGAACUUUCCAGAGAUGGAUUGGUGCCUUCGGGAACUGUGACACAGGUACUGCAUGGGCGUGGUCGUCUCGUGUUGUUGUAGGUUGGGUUAAGUCCCGCUACGACCGCGACCCUUAUCCUUUGCUUCCGUCGGUUAGCCCGGGCACUCAAAGGAGACUGCCGGUGAUAAACUGGAGGAAGGUGGGGAUGACGUCAAGUCAU
This 600-nucleotide ribosomal RNA is filed under the name bacterium. RNAcentral's name for it is "partial 16S ribosomal RNA". It matches the Rfam family "Bacterial small subunit ribosomal RNA", at positions 604 to 1193 of the family's 1533-position model. The record is from RNAcentral.